This 220-nucleotide ribosomal RNA is filed under the name uncultured bacterium. RNAcentral describes it as "partial 16S ribosomal RNA". It matches the Rfam family "Bacterial small subunit ribosomal RNA", at positions 57 to 305 of the family's 1533-position model. The record is from RNAcentral.
GCAAGUCGAGCGAGACCUUCGGGUCUAGCGGCGGACGGGUGAGUAACGCGUGGGAACGUGCCCUUUGCUACGGAAUAGUCCCGGGAAACUGGGUUUAAUACCGUAUGUGCCCUUCGGGGGAAAGAUUUAUCGGCAAAGGAUCGGCCCGCGUUGGAUUAGGUAGUUGGUGGGGUAAUGGCCCACCAAGCCGACGAUCCAUAGCUGGUUUGAGAGGAUGAUC